Molecule: ribosomal RNA, 198 nt
Filed under: Aeromonas salmonicida subsp. salmonicida
Lineage: Bacteria; Pseudomonadati; Pseudomonadota; Gammaproteobacteria; Aeromonadales; Aeromonadaceae
Description: partial 16S ribosomal RNA
Rfam family: Bacterial small subunit ribosomal RNA
Source: RNAcentral
AAAUUGAAGAGUUUGAUCAUGGCUCAGAUUGAACGCUGGCGGCAGGCCUAACACAUGCAAGUCGAGCGGCAGCGGGAAAGUAGCUUGCUACUUUUGCCGGCGAGCGGCGGACGGGUGAGUAAUGCCUGGGGAUCUGCCCAGUCGAGGGGGAUAACAGUUGGAAACGACUGCUAAUACCGCAUACGCCCUACGGGGGAA